GUGUCAGCAGCCGCGGUAAGACGAACCGUGCAAACGUUGUUCGGAAUCACUGGGCUUAAAGGGCGCGUAGGCGGGCUCUCAAGUCAGGGGUGAAAUCUUUCGGCCCAACCGGAAAAGCGCUUCUGAUACUGGGAGUCUCGAGGGAGGUAGGGGUCGGUGGAACUGGUGGUGGAGCGGUGAAAUGCGUAGAUAUCACUAGGAACGCCGGUGGCGAAAGCGGCCGACUGGACCUCUUCUGACGCUGAGGCGCGAAAGCCAGGGGAGCGAACGGGAUUAGAUACCCCCGUAGUCC
Molecule: ribosomal RNA, 292 nt
Filed under: uncultured bacterium
Lineage: Bacteria
Description: partial 16S ribosomal RNA
Rfam family: Bacterial small subunit ribosomal RNA
Source: RNAcentral